CUACCAUGGUGGUAACGGGUAACGGGGUGUUAGGGCACGACACCGGAGAGGGAGCCUGAGAAACGGCUACCACAUCCAAGGAAGGCAGCAGGCGCGCAAAUUACCCAAUCCCGCCACGGGGAGGUAGUGACAAUAAAUAACAAUACAGGGUUCUUUUGGAUCUUGUAAUUGGAAUGAGUACAAUUUAAAUCUCUUAACGAGGAACAAUUGGAGGGCAAGUCUGGUGCCAGCAGCCGCGGUAAUUCCAGCUCCAAUAGCGUAUAUUAAAGUUGUUGCAGUUAAAAAGCUCGUAGUUGAAUUUCGGGAUCAAUAUUUCGGUCAUGCCGUUGGUAUGCACUGUUAUCAUUGAUUUCUCACCUUCUAAAGAACCAUAAUGCCAUUAAUUUGGUGUUACGGGGAAUUAGGACUGUUACCUUGAAAAAAUUAGAGUGUUUAAAGCAGGCUCACGCUUGAAUACAUUAGCAUGGAAUAAUGAAAUAGGACAUCCGAUUCUAUUUUGUUGGUUUCUAGGAUCGAUGUAAUGAUUAAUAGGGAUAGUUGGGGGCAUUAGUAUUCAAUUGUCAGAGGUGAAAUUCUUGGAUUUAUUGAAGACUAACUACUGCGAAAGCAUUUGCCAAGGAUGUUUUCAUUAAUCAAGAACGAAAGUUAGGGGAUCGAAGACGAUCAGAUACCGUCGUAGUCUUAACCAUAAACUAUGCCGACUAGGGAUCGGAUGAUGUUAAUUUUUUAAUGACUCAUUCGGCGCCUUAC
RNAcentral lists this ribosomal RNA (750 nucleotides) under uncultured Glomus. RNAcentral describes it as "SSU rRNA". It matches the Rfam family "Eukaryotic small subunit ribosomal RNA", at positions 341 to 1091 of the family's 1831-position model. The record is from RNAcentral. Lineage: Eukaryota; Fungi; Glomeromycota; Glomeromycetes; Glomerales; Glomeraceae.